CAGAAGAAAGCCCAAGAAGGAUAACACUUUGAAGGACUUAACAGCCCAUUUUUCCCCACAUGUCAAGAAACAUGCUGCCUACAGCUCCUUGGAACUUUUCCUCUUAAAAUGUAUACUCUUAGAAAGAAACGGAUACUCUCGAUUUUAAUGUGAAAUAUUCCAAGGAAGGAAGCAGAUUUCUUCUCUACACCUUGACCAGAGGAUAGUGAUCAGUUUGAAUGACAUCCCACCAGUGGACCAAGAGCUGAAAUUAUAUGGGAACUUCCAUAUAUGGGAACAUGGGAACUCCAUCAUGAAGGAGGUGUUUAUUGUGCAUUCUUCCUCGCCACCUGCGUUGUGUACAUA
Molecule: long non-coding RNA, 345 nt
Filed under: Bos indicus x Bos taurus (hybrid cattle)
Lineage: Eukaryota; Metazoa; Chordata; Mammalia; Artiodactyla; Bovidae
Description: lncRNA (ENSBIXG00000027198.1)
Source: RNAcentral